This 764-nucleotide ribosomal RNA is filed under the name uncultured bacterium. Its description in RNAcentral is "bacterial SSU rRNA". It matches the Rfam family "Bacterial small subunit ribosomal RNA", at positions 31 to 839 of the family's 1533-position model. The record is from RNAcentral.
GAACGCUGGCGGCAUGGUAAGGCAUGCAAGUCGAAUGCAUUUAGUUGCAUGGCAAACGGGGUAGUAACAGGUAGGAACGUACCCUCUAGUCGUGAAUAACCCAGAGAAAUCUGGAAUAAUACACGAUGGUCUCGCAAGAGUAAAGAUUUAUCGCUAGAGGAGCGGCCUGCUUAGUAUCAGCUUGUUGGUAAGGUAAUGGCUUACCAAGGCUACGACGCUUAGGGGAGGUGAGAGCCUGACCCCCACCAUUGGAACUUAGACACGGUCCAAACUCCUACGGGAGGCUGCAGUCGAGAAUCUUCCGCAAUGUACGAAAGUAUGACGGAGCGAUGCCGCGUGGUAGAUGAAGCACUUCGGUGCGUAAAUACCUUUUAUGAGGGAGGAAGUUUAUUGACGUUACCUCAUGAAUAAGGGGCUCCUAAUCACGUGCCAGCAGGAGCGGUAAUACGUGAGCCUCAAGCGUUACCCGGAUUUACUGGGCGUAAAGGGUGUGUAGGCGGUGUUAUUAGUCGUUUGUUAAAGUCCGGAGCCUAACUCCGGGAAGGCGAGCGAAACGGUAACACUAGAGGAUGGUAGAGGUGUGUGGAACUCAUAGUGUAGGGGUGAAAUCCGUUGAUAUUAUGGGGAACACCAAAAGCGAAGGCAACACACUGGGCCAUUUCUGACGCUGAGACACGAAACCUAGGGUAGCGAAUGGGAUUAGAUACCCCAGUAGUCCUAGGCCUAAACGCUGUCCGUUAGCUUUAGAGGGAAUCGACCAUCUC